RNAcentral lists this ribosomal RNA (468 nucleotides) under uncultured bacterium. RNAcentral's name for it is "partial 16S ribosomal RNA". It matches the Rfam family "Bacterial small subunit ribosomal RNA", at positions 28 to 507 of the family's 1533-position model. The record is from RNAcentral.
GAUGAACGCUGGCGGCGUGCUUAACACAUGCAAGUCGAACGGUGAACACGGAGCUUGCUCUGUGGGAUCAGUGGCGAACGGGUGAGUAACACGUGAGCAACCUGCCUCUGACUCUGGGAUAAGCGCUGGAAACGGCGUCUAAUACUGGAUAUGUGACGUGAUCGCAUGGUCUGCGUCUGGAAAGAAUUUCGGUUGGGGAUGGGCUCGCGGCCUCUCAGCUUGUUGGUGAGGUAAUGGCUCACCAAGGCGUCGACGGGUAGCCGGCCUGAGCUGGUGACCGGCCAAGCUGGGACUGAGACGCGGCCCGGACUCCUACGGGAGGCAGCAGUGGGGAAUAUUGCACAAUGGGCUCAAGCCUGAUGCAGCAACGCCGCGUGAUGGAUGACAGCCUUCGGGUUGUAAACCUCUUUUAGCAGGGAAGAAGCGAAAGUGACGGUACCUGCAGAAAAAGCGCCGGCUAACUACGUG